RNAcentral lists this ribosomal RNA (256 nucleotides) under uncultured bacterium. RNAcentral describes it as "partial 16S ribosomal RNA". It matches the Rfam family "Bacterial small subunit ribosomal RNA", at positions 524 to 776 of the family's 1533-position model. The record is from RNAcentral.
UACGUAGGGGGGCUAGCGUUGUCCGGAUUUAUUGGGCGUAAAGAGCGUGUAGGCGGCCAGGUAGGUCUGCUGUGAAAACUCGAGGCUCAACCUCGAGACGUCGGCGGAAACCAUCUGGCUAGAGUCCGGAAGAGGAGAGUGGAAUUCCUGGUGUAGCGGUGAAAUGCGCAGAUAUCAGGAAGAACACCCGUGGCGAAGGCGGCUCUCUGGGACGGUACUGACGCUGAGACGCGAAAAGCGUGGGGGAGCGAACAGG